UGCUAUUUUGUUUAUUUUUGUUGUUAAGAGAUUAAGCAUAUAUCUGAUAUAUGAUGAAUGAUUUUCGCUAUCUAGGGGGUGAUCUUUCCGAUGCUGAUCUAAGAGGUGCAGACUUAUCCUUGGCCAAUGUGACAAAGGUGAGCAUUGAUGGAACUCUUCUGCCUGUUCAAUUUGUAAGAAAUACUUCUGCAGUUUGUUCGCAUUGUUAAUGUUUAUCAAGUAUAUAUAUGUUUUUCACAAUCAGAUUACCUGUUUAAUACAACCUAUGCGUGAUAAAUGGUUGAAAAAGGUAGAGAGGCUAUUACAAUGUGUGUACUUGUGCAGUAUGUGUGUGAAUAUCCCAUUGCUGGGAGCCUGGACAUAUUGGAUUCCAAUGUGGACUUUUAUGGUCAAUGAGCUUUUGUGCCAAUUGGGGACAUAGAUAGUCCUAUCUUCAUAAGGUUCAGCUUAGGUUAGGUUUUGGUUUCCUUGUGAAAAGCAUAAUGUUGAGUAUGACUCAACCCUGAAUAUUAAGUUUAAAGGCCUAAACCCUUGCCCUUGAAGCUAACAGGCUCAAAAUUGUUCACUAGUUCUUUGUCCCUGUCAUAAGCAUUGUUUUCAUUAUGGAGAUUUGGAGAUGCAGUGACAAUGAAAUUGUGAAAUCCAGAAACAAUUUUUUUUCUUUUUCUUUUGUUUAUAUAUGUUUAUGUAAAGUUGUUUUUAGGAUGAGUUCUUUUACCAUGUUCUUUUACCUAAGGUUAUUUAUUUGUUAUUGUUAAAGCUAGCAGUUAGUUUUUAAAUUAGGUUUAUUUUUGUUUAUUAAGCAUCAGUGGAUGCUAGCUUCACGUACUUGACACCUAGAAGCCACCUAGCUCAAGGUCUUAUCUCUUCCACCGUUUGGCUUUCACCUUUUCUUCCCCAUUGAGAUACUGAUCUGGGAUGGUACCUCUUAGUUUUUCUUUUCUUUUCUUUGAGACUGGGGAUUGAAGAGAAAACAAGGAGAAGAACUAAGCUUGUUUCCGAUUUGGGUUCGGGGGUAUUAAGUUGAGGGUAAAUUUGAGCAAUGCCAACUUGGAAGGUGCAUUUACUACAGACAACAUAUCUUUCAAAGGAUCAACUGCCACUUCCAAAGAGGAGCACUCCAAAGUUGCCGGAAUACACCAAGGACUGGAAACUCAAGUUACAAGUAUUUUUAUCUUAUAACAAACUGCUAUUAUUUUCUUUUUUCGUUUUACUGUAACUAUAAACAAUUUUAGUCUUCUUAUGGUUUAUUUAGAAGACUUCAAUCUUGUUCUUUUCUUUUGCUGUUGUAUAUGGAGAAGUUUAGGCCAUAUGUCCCCUUCUCCAUACUCUUUGUACUCUUUUUAUCAAUAGUAUUAAUAAGAAUUUUCUUUUGCUUA
RNA transcript from Rosa rugosa (rugosa rose), 1379 nucleotides. It is a transcript of the gene named thylakoid lumenal 15 kDa protein 1, chloroplastic-like, with no coding region annotated. The transcript has 2 exons. The record is from RefSeq and is a predicted model, not a curated record. NCBI's taxonomy places the organism in Eukaryota, Viridiplantae, Streptophyta, Magnoliopsida, Rosales, Rosaceae.